UACGUAGGUGGCAAGCGUUGUCCGGAAUUAUUGGGCGUAAAGCGCGCGCAGGCGGCCUCUUAAGUCUGAUGUGAAAGCCCCCGGCUCAACCGGGGAGGGCCAUUGGAAACUGGGAGGCUUGAGUAUAGGAGUGAAGAGUGGAAUUCCACGUGUAGCGGUGAAAUGCGUAGAGAUGUGGAGGAACACCAGUGGCGAAGGCGACUCUUUGGCCUAUAACUGACGCUGAGGCGCGAAAAGCGUGGGGGAGCAAACAGG
This 255-nucleotide ribosomal RNA is filed under the name uncultured bacterium. RNAcentral's name for it is "partial 16S ribosomal RNA". It matches the Rfam family "Bacterial small subunit ribosomal RNA", at positions 524 to 776 of the family's 1533-position model. The record is from RNAcentral.